AGGGAAAAUCGGUAUUGGAAUAUUAUCAAUAUCUAGAAAUGAUUAGUAUUUACACGGACUUCUAUUCUCUAGAUGCCAAGAGCAGGGUUUCCAAGCAUAACACCUAUAGCUCCUCGUCCUUUUAGUCUAUUAAAUUUAGUAAGCCUAUCUCCCAUACAGUUGCUACUUUCACACCACUAACACAACAAGCACCUCACCUACAAUCAUACACCAAUUUUAUAACUACCCAACAUCAAACUCCCAAGGACCACGUAAUUCUUUCACGGAAUUCUUCAAUAAAAUAAUCCAUUUAAUUGCAAACAAUCAGGAAAACCUUACAAAUUGGAAAAAAUUACUAAGCUCUACCAAUCCCAUUAAAUACAAAAAUUAAUAUAUCAUAUUAUCCAAAUGCAUUAAAUAUCCUAUAUCAAACCGUGUAUACCAGUCUUACACCUCACACUCACCAAACUAUAUCCACGUAGGGCCAAAAUCGUUUCAAAAUAAAUAAAUAGCCUUAAAAUAAACUCAGCCCUUCGUUUUAUGACUUCUGAAAACUAUUUAGCUAACAACUAUGAGUUCAUUGUAGCAUGCUAUUCAUAGCAUCCAUCAUUCCUAUUUUUUUUGUGCGUCUAAUAGUUUUAAAUAAAGGAUGGAGAAAUUCGACUAAUCCCAGUAGGCUCUUUCUUCAGAAAAGCUGCUUCAAAAAUUGCUUCACAUAUUAAGGAAUCUCUUUCCUCAUUUAUGUUGUAACAUCAAUUAGGAUUUUGCGUUCCUGGAGCAGAAAUUUUUGCUAUAUCUCGCUCGUACAACUUUUGCAGAUAGCAUUCCCUAUUACGUAAUUAACGCGACCCUCUUCGAUAAAUUUGUAUGAUGGUAUGGUAGUAUGCACAAAAAUCGUUGCAAUGCAAUAAAGUGGAUAUUGAUCAGAGUCUUAUCAAUUUUUCGUCGCAGGAGGAUGUUAUCUGGAACGCCUUUCAAUUUAAAAAUUUCGCUAAAAAUAAUCCCCCAGUGACCUACUCGUAUUCAAAGGUGUCGAUUGGAUUGUUAC
Gordionus sp. m RMFG-2023 is the source of this 1027-nucleotide long non-coding RNA. RefSeq lists it as uncharacterized. The record is from RefSeq and is a predicted model, not a curated record. The transcript has 3 exons. NCBI's taxonomy places the organism in Eukaryota, Metazoa, Nematomorpha, Gordioida, Chordodea, Parachordodidae.